RNAcentral lists this ribosomal RNA (561 nucleotides) under Triticum aestivum (bread wheat). Its description in RNAcentral is "partial small subunit ribosomal RNA". The record is from RNAcentral. Lineage: Eukaryota; Viridiplantae; Streptophyta; Magnoliopsida; Poales; Poaceae.
AUGUCAACGCCCCAGAGCGGCAGCGGGAGCCCAGCGACCACGGCGGCGGCGGUGGAGACGAGCAAACAUUGGGCGCCGCAUGGCCCGAUGCUGACGGCCUGCCUCGUCAGCAUCAACGUGCUAAUGAUCCUCCUCAUCUUCUUCUACUUCUGGCGGUUCUUCUCCGGGAAGCGAGGGCCGUCUAGCCCCGGAGGUGCUGACGAGGAGUCGUCAUCGACCGACUCGUCUCCAGCGACCUCGCCGAGAGCGUCCAGGCGCCUGCGCGACCCCGACCAGCCGGACAUCCCGUCUUCCCUGCCCAUGUCCGUGUUCGACUCGAGCAGCGAAGCCGCCGGGAAGGCGGCGGCAGACUGCGCGGUGUGCAUCGUGGAGUUCCGCGACGGCGACCUGGCGCGCCUCCUCCCUCGCUGCGGGCACCGGUUCCACGCCGCGUGCGUCGACGCGUGGCUGCAUCUACACUCGACGUGCCCGCUCUGCCGCGCCAGCGUGGUCGCCCCUGAGCCCGCCGCCACCGAGCCCAAGAACGACCCAAAAGACGACGGCGCGGAGUGCCCGGUGUGA